AGAGUUUGAUCCUGGCUCAGGAUGAACGCUAGCGGCAGGCCUAAUACAUGCAAGUCGAGGGUUAGUGGAGCUUGCUCCAUGAGACCGGCGCACGGGUGCGUAACGCGUAUGCAACCUACCUAUACCUGGGGGAUAGCCCGGAGAAAUCCGGAUUAACACCGCAUAAAAUCACAGUGCCGCAUGGCACAAUGAUCAAACAUUCAUGGGGUUUAGAUGGGCAUGCGUGACAUUAGCUAGUUGGCGGGGUAACGGCCCACCAAGGCUGCGAUGUCUAGGGGAUCUGAGAGGAUGGCCCCCCACACUGGUACUGAGACACGGACCAGACUCCUACGGGAGGCAGCAGUAAGGAAUAUUGGUCAAUGGGCGCAAGCCUGAACCAGCCAUGGCCGCGUGCAGGAAGACAGCCCUCUGGGUCGUAAACUGCUUUUAUUCGGGAAUAAACCUAUCUACGUGUAGAUAGCUGAAUGUACCGAAGGAAUAAGGAUCGGCUAACUCCGUGCCAGCAGCCGCGGUAAUACGGAGGAUCCAAGCGUUAUCCGGAUUUAUUGGGUUUAAAGGGUGCGUAGGCGGCCUGUUAAGUCAGGGGUGAAAGACGGUAGCUCAACUAUCGCAGUGCCCUUGAUACUGAUGGGCUUGAAUACACUAGAGGUAGGCGGAAUGUGACAAGUAGCGGUGAAAUGCAUAGAUAUGUCACAGAACACCGAUUGCGAAGGCAGCUUACUAUGGUGUCAUUGACGCUGAGGCACGAAAGC
This 752-nucleotide ribosomal RNA is filed under the name uncultured bacterium. RNAcentral describes it as "bacterial SSU rRNA". It matches the Rfam family "Bacterial small subunit ribosomal RNA", at positions 8 to 760 of the family's 1533-position model. The record is from RNAcentral.